GUGCUUUCUUCUUUAAAAUUAUUUUUCAGUGUUCUAGAUGUGUUUGCUUUCAUUUUUUCCAUAAUUUGAAAUUGACUUCUGAAAUUAAGUUAUGAGCUAUUGAAGACAUUUCUCAAGUCACAUUUCUUGACCUUAGACCAUGUAUGUUUUAGUAAGGGAAGAAAACUGUAAGCUGUAUGAAUGAGGCAGAAUUUACAACAAUCCAACUACUGUUGUCUGUAUGAUCUAGUCAUGUUAAAAUAAAUCAGAUUUAUUUUUUUUUUACUGAUUUAAAAUAUAAUUUCAAAAUUGGUAUAUUGCCUUCUGGGAAAUUUCCAGUUUCCCUCAGGACCAAAAUUCCUUGCUUUGCAAAGUAUGAGCCUGUACCUGUGGUCCCUGAAAUAGCUGUAGUGGGGUUUUUACCGAUUUGGCAUUAUGUCUUGGUGUAGCUCAAAGAAAAAAUCUAGCCAUAAUGUUGGUGCCUACUGGUUGUGGAGUGUGUGUGACAAACUUUAAAUCUGUUCAGAAGAAACUUCUCAUUUUUGUGCUACUUAAUUUAUGUAGCAAAUGGUAUUUUAUCCCAUAAUCUUUAGUCAUGGAAGAAGUCAGUCUUUUAAAAGCAAAUUGCUGCGUGAUUAGUGGUUACUUGCAUUUGUGUAUCAAAUCGGAAUUUUAUGUGGCUGUGGUGCCAUUCUCGGGAUGUGUUACUAACCACCAGUCCAGCAGAGC
Molecule: long non-coding RNA, 708 nt
Organism: Athene cunicularia (burrowing owl)
Lineage: Eukaryota; Metazoa; Chordata; Aves; Strigiformes; Strigidae
Exons: 2
Source: RefSeq, a predicted model, not a curated record